GAAUGUCCGUGAAAGGGAAUCAGGUGAAAGUCCUGAACUGUUCCUGCAGCUGUAAGCCGCAUUGUAAGUAUAGCCAAAGAAGCCACUGACUAUGGAGUCGGGAAGGCGGUUGUGCUUGUCGGUAAAGUCAGAAGACCUGCCAUUUAUCAUUU
This 152-nucleotide non-coding RNA is filed under the name uncultured Prevotella sp. Lineage: Bacteria; Pseudomonadati; Bacteroidota; Bacteroidia; Bacteroidales; Prevotellaceae. The record is from RNAcentral.